Molecule: long non-coding RNA, 1727 nt
Filed under: Manihot esculenta (cassava)
Lineage: Eukaryota; Viridiplantae; Streptophyta; Magnoliopsida; Malpighiales; Euphorbiaceae
Description: long non-coding RNA (MESC_LNC003539)
Source: RNAcentral
AAAAGAAAAACCACUCCAGGCCUUUACCAGUGACACAAGAGAAUAUAUGAAAACAUGCUUAUGUACAUUUUGGAUUAAAUUAAACAGGCAGAAUUGAUAAGGUAAGAGAUGCGUUAUGGAGGUGUUAGACUCAAAAGUUUACCCUUGAAUUCUAAUGUCACAGAUUCUGGCCAGCAGAUGAUUAUUAAUUAAUUUAAGCAAUCAUAAAUAUAAGUUUUUACAAAGGAAAAUACUCAAUAAUAUCCACACACCAUACGGGAUCUAGACCAUAAUUCUAAUUUCUUCCAGUUUCUACACUUGAAUGUUCUUGAGCUACUAGCUGGCUACAGCAAGUAACUACAAAUCAAUGAUUUUGGGUCUCAAUCUCACAAAACAAGCAAAUUAUAAAAUAUUUUGACACUACAAUAGUAGGUAAUGAAGUGUUAUGCCCCAUCUUUAAUCUAAUAUAACAUUCUAUGAAGUGUGAAUACACAGUAAUGUAGAUACAUGCACAAGACACAGGUUUCUAUCCUCUACUAAAAAAACAAUACUAAUUGUGAAAAUAAUACAUGCAGAUUUCAUAGGACCCAUCCUCCUUCCUUUUUGUCAAUGCAGUCCCUUCCCUUGCCAAUUACAUCAAUCCAUAUUAUGGGAUGCAGGGAUGAAAGAGUUCCAUUCUUUAGGUUUAAAAUGAACUAUAUAUUAAAUUAAAGACACCAGAAUCCAGUUAUCUAGAUAACCCAACCCUACAGAGUACAAACUGAAACUGAUGAGUAAUAGGAAUGAACAUUCACCAAUACACAUGCUAAAAUCUCGAAAUUAUAUUAUUAAUUACUCAACUCAAUAUGGUGUUUAGGUUUAGCACAAAACUGACAAACCUCACUAUUAUACUGUAAGAUGUAGUAGAUGGAAAAAGAGGCUCAUCAAUUAAUGGACACCCUACAUCAGCAGAAAUUUUAGCAUUUAAAACAAUUAAAUUGCCUGAUUAUAUGAACAAUCACUGCACAUUAUACGAAAUCCCAUUUCACAAUUUAAAUGAAGAUUUUAAAGGUAGCAAAUGAAUUGGUAUAGUUAUUGAAAUAAGUUACAAUUUCAGGGCUCAUUUCCUGAUACUUGACCUGAAUAGUAUUCUUUUCAUGACAAAGCAAUCCAGAAAAAGGCACGCAAAUAUUAUCCAGACUGACAAACACACUAAACCUGUAACCUUAAUCCCCUACUGAUCCUUUUGCUCUUCUCUCUCCAUGCCAGACACUAAAACCCAAUAGAACUUGAGAUUAAUACACACGCCUCCCAAACAUCAAAGGCUAGGACAAGACCUUGUAUUACUGCAGACUAAUAUUGGGAUGAAUACCAUGCAAAGGACUUACAUCACUGAAAUUUUAGCGAGACAACCAAACAGAAAUCUAAAGACCAUGUCAAACAGAAAUCUAUAGAAGUUCUAUGUCAUGUAAUUAACUAAGAAAUGAGAUCGUAUAUAAAUAUGCAUGUAUUAUUAUAUAAUUACAUAUAGAAACUGCGUAAAUGUUUCAGGCGAUCAGCUUACAUGUUCACAUACACAUAUCAACUUUCUAAACCUUAAUCAUGAGGAAGAUAAAGAGGAACUAGCUCUUGGCGGAAAGAAGACAUCCGAAGUACUGCUAAAUUUGAUUUUGAACAGCAUAUCUUAUCAAUUAGAUAAGCUUCCUAAGCUGCAAGAUCUAAAGGCUACUUUCAAGAUUACUUAAUUUAUCAAACUAACACAAAAAUCU